GGAAUUCGAUUCGGGUGUGACAAGGCCCGGGAACGUAUUCACGGCAGCGUGCUGAUCUGCCAUUACUAGCGAUUCCAGCUUCAUGCAGGCGAGUUGCAGCCUGCAAUCCGAACUGAGAACGGUUUUUUGCGAUUGGCUCCCUCUCGCGAGUUCGCUGCGCUUUGUACCGUCCAUUGUAGCACGUGUGUAGCCCUGGACAUAAAGGCCAUGAGGACUUGACGUCAUCCCCACCUUCCUCCAGGUUAUCCCUGGCGGUCUCCUGCGAGUUCCACCUUGCGGUAUGGCAACACAGGACAAGGGUUGCGCUCGUUGCGGGACUUAACCCAACAUCUCACGACACGAGCUGACGACAGCCAUGCAGCACCUCGACUGGACCCCCUUGCGGGGUAAAGAUGUUUCCACCUCCGUUGACCAGCCGUUCGAGCCCAGGUAAGGUUCUUCGCGUUAAUCACUA
RNAcentral lists this ribosomal RNA (454 nucleotides) under uncultured soil bacterium. RNAcentral's name for it is "partial 16S ribosomal RNA". The record is from RNAcentral.